GAGGGUGAAUACCUAGUUUGUUUGGUGGG
This 29-nucleotide non-coding RNA is filed under the name Homo sapiens (human). Lineage: Eukaryota; Metazoa; Chordata; Mammalia; Primates; Hominidae. The record is from RNAcentral.